GGCAGCAGCAGGACGCACCGCAGCUGUUUGGGUGUCUGUAGCAGUGUCCUGAGGGCAGCUCUGGGGAGUAACUUUCUAGCCUGGAUGUGAGCGGUUUGUUCUCCCCGCAGGAUCCAGGGGGAGCCACGGAGUAGCGGUUCCUUUCUGACCCUGCCCACCUGGUGUCGGAGCAGGAGGAAGCCAGUGUUUGCUUUCCAGCAAGGUCACGGGUCAUCUGACCAGAUGCGGCAGCUGCAAUGCAGGCAGGCAGGAGGGACCCUCGAGGAAAGUGAGCCCAGUUGGCGAGCCGGUGUUGGGCGCAGUGAGCGUCUCUGCGUGGUCAGCGGGACGUGAGCCGCAGAGCGGGCGGGAUCUGGCCAGGAGGCAGAGCCUCAGCCAGCCGGGAGCAGCCGCUGGCGGGCACCUCCUGCAUCCUGGCGCAGGACUCGGCUCCCUGGGAUUCUGGGCGCGGGCAGCUCUGCUCACCUCACCUGGCAGGCUCUGUCCAGGGAAUUGGACAGGAAUGAAUCUUGCAAGAAAUCUGACCUUCACAAGCUUCCAGAUUCUCAUGGGAGGAGGGCUGGGGAGAGGGAGCUGCACAUACUAAAACCCCUGGAGCAUCGAGAGAGGGUG
This 612-nucleotide long non-coding RNA is filed under the name Heterocephalus glaber (naked mole-rat). Its description in RNAcentral is "lncRNA (ENSHGLG00000038555.1)". Lineage: Eukaryota; Metazoa; Chordata; Mammalia; Rodentia; Bathyergidae. The record is from RNAcentral.